Molecule: ribosomal RNA, 983 nt
Filed under: uncultured bacterium
Lineage: Bacteria
Description: bacterial SSU rRNA
Rfam family: Bacterial small subunit ribosomal RNA
Source: RNAcentral
GUAACACGUGGGUGACCCGCCCUGGGGUGGGGAAUAACUUGCCGAAAGGCGAGCUAAGACCGCCUAAGCCCUGCAGGUCGCACUGGAGGGGAAAGCCGGGUAAGACCGGCGCCGCAGGAGGGGCCCGCGGCCGAUUAGCUGGUUGGUAGGGUAAGAGCCUACCAAGGCGACGAUCGGUAGCCGGUCUGAGAGGACGGACGGCCACACUGGAACUGAGAGACGGUCCAGACUCCUACGGGAGGCAGCAGUGGGGAAUUUUGCGCAAUGGGGGAAACCCUGACGCAGCAACGCCGCGUGGAGGAAGAAGAUUUUCGGAUUGUAAACUCCUGUCCGAGGGGAAAAAGGCAGUGAUGGUACCCUUGGAGGAAGCCCCGGCUAACUCCGUGCCAGCAGCCGCGGUAAUACGGGGGGGGCGAGCGUUGUUCGGAAUGACUGGGCGUAAAGGGCGCGUAGGCGGCCUGGGAAGUCUCAGGUGAAAGUCCUCGGCUUAACCGGGGAAGGUCCUGAGAAACCACGAGGCUGGAGUGCUGGAGAGGGAGGCGGAAUUCCCGGUGGAGCGGUGAAAUGCGUAGAGAUCGGGAGGAACACCAGAGGCGUAGGCGGCCUCCUGGACAGACACUGACGCUGAGGCGCGAAAGCCAGGGGUGCGAACGGGAUUAGAUACCCCGGUAGUCCUGGCGGUAAACGAUGGUCACUAGGCGUGGGAGGUAGCCAAGUCCUUCUGUGUCGCAGGUAACCUGAUAAGUGACCCGCCUGGGGAGUACGGCCGCAAGGCUGAAACUCAAAGGAAUUGACGGGGGCCCGCACAAGCGGUGGAGCAUGUGGUCUAAUUCGACGCAACGCGAAGAACCUUACCGGGGUUUGAACUGCCGAGGCAACUGCGCGAGAGCGUGGGUUCUCCGCAAGGGGACUUUGGCAGAGGUGCUGCAUGGCUGUCGUCAGCUCGUGUCGUGAGAUGUUGGGUUAAGUCCCGCAACGAGCGC